ACGAACGCUGGCGGCAUGCCUCACACAUGCAAGUCGCACGAACCCUUCGGGGUUAGUGGCGCACGGGUGCGUCACGCGUGGGAAUCUGCCCUUUGCUUCGGAAUAACUCAGGGAAACUUGUGCUAAUACCGGAUGAUGUCUUCGGACCAAAGAUUUAUCGGCAAGGGAUGAGCCCGCGUAGGAUUAGGUAGUUGGUGGGGUAAAGGCCUACCAAGCCGACGAUCCUUAGCUGGUCUGAGAGGAUGAUCAGCCACACUGGGACUGAGACACGGCCCAGACUCCUACGGGAGGCAGCAGUGGGGAAUAUUGGACAAUGGGCGCAAGCCUGAUCCAGCAAUGCCGCGUGAGUGAUGAAGGCCCUCGGGUCGUAAAGCUCUUUUACCAGGGAUGAUAAUGACAGUACCUGGAGAAUAAGCUCCGGCUAACUCCGUG
RNAcentral lists this ribosomal RNA (432 nucleotides) under uncultured bacterium. RNAcentral's name for it is "partial 16S ribosomal RNA". It matches the Rfam family "Bacterial small subunit ribosomal RNA", at positions 29 to 507 of the family's 1533-position model. The record is from RNAcentral.